AUACGGAGGGUGCAAGCGUUGUUCGGAAUCACUGGGCGUAAAGGGCGCGCAGGCGGUUUGAUUAGUCAGAUGUGAAAGUCCACGGCUUAACCGUGGAAGUGCAUUUGAAACUGUCAGACUUGAGUAUCAGAGGGGAAAGUGGAAUUCCCGGUGUAGAGGUGAAAUUCGUAGAUAUCGGGAGGAAUACCGGUGGCGAAGGCGACUUUCUGGCUGAAUACUGACGCUGAGGCGCGAAAGCGUGGGGAGCAAACAGGAUUAGAUACCCCAGUAGUCC
This 274-nucleotide ribosomal RNA is filed under the name uncultured bacterium. RNAcentral describes it as "partial 16S ribosomal RNA". It matches the Rfam family "Bacterial small subunit ribosomal RNA", at positions 523 to 796 of the family's 1533-position model. The record is from RNAcentral.